RNAcentral lists this long non-coding RNA (1245 nucleotides) under Helianthus annuus (common sunflower). Its description in RNAcentral is "hypothetical non coding rna". Lineage: Eukaryota; Viridiplantae; Streptophyta; Magnoliopsida; Asterales; Asteraceae. The record is from RNAcentral.
GUGAAAACCCUAAAACUAGUUCGAGUGUUCGCAUAUAUCGUCAUCAUCAGAUUGCAUACACCUGAACACAAAUUAAGAGCUAAAGCAAGUGAAUUUGGUGAAGUUGCAUUUGCUCAUGGUAGCACUAGGAAGCUUUCUCAUGCUUGUAAAUCUCAAGUUCUCUAUGGUGUUGACAAGUUAGGGGACUCUAUAAAUCAGAAGUACUAGCUUACAGGUGGCUUUUUGUUACUGAACGGGAUAUUAAGGGCCUACCUUAAUUACAGGUAUAUGUAUUUUCUUUUACUCCAUCUAGGGGCUUAACUUCUAGUUAGUGAGUUAUAAUUAAUUACUCCCUCUGUCCCACUAAAAGUGUCCUAGUUUGAUUUUUUAAAGUCUUUAUUUAUAAACUUUGACCUUAAAUAAUUUUGGUUGUGUUUGAUAAUACUUGAUGAAAGUUAUAUGAUUUGAGUGUGUUUUACAAGUGUUUUUAUGGGGUUAAUUUUCAUCAAGUUUUAUAUAACACAAAAAAUAUAUAAUUAAAGUCAAAGUUUAUAAAUAAAGACUUUGAAAAUUCAAAACAGGACACUUUUAAUGGGACGGAGGUAGUAAAAAACUACAUUAGCACAAAAAAGAGACCGCAUGCUUAAAGAAUCUAUUUUGGGCAUCUUUUGACCCUAUUGACCCAUUCACCACAUUUUUAGCAAUAUUUUGGUUCACCAAUUGAUUUGUCUUAGAUAGAAGACAACUCAAUUUGACUCGUUAUAAACUAAUGGGUAGACAUUCUCAUCAUGAACACUCUUGUCGUUUGGUGAUGGCAAUUCUGACAACUAGAGGUAUUGAAAAAACUACCCUACCUUUGGCUGAAGAGCUUAAAGUGAUGUGUGAAUUUGUGUUUUAUUAAUUGCUCUUACAUCUUUUAUAGUUAUAGUUAUGAGAUCUAAUCAAUUUAACAUGAACUGUAAAAUUUCUGGUUGAAUAUAGUGAGUUGGUUGAUGCGAUGACAACAAGCAGUAAGUGCAGAGAACUAUGAAGUGGGAAAUAUGAUUGCUUAGAAAGGGUUAACACGACGAUUAUUUUACUUGCAAACAAGAUUGUGUAAGAGAUUCACGAAUGUAUUGAAGUUUUGAGUUUCUAUUCAAACAUUUAUUGACUAUUUGUUUUGUAUGUUUGGUAUUUAGACAUAGGUUGACGCUUAUUAGACUUUUGUUUGCAAACAUUGGAAUCUUUGGAAGAUGAUUGAUUGAACUUUUUAAUUGAAGUGAUUAU